This 465-nucleotide ribosomal RNA is filed under the name Vreelandella stevensii. Its description in RNAcentral is "partial 16S ribosomal RNA". It matches the Rfam family "Bacterial small subunit ribosomal RNA", at positions 338 to 795 of the family's 1533-position model. The record is from RNAcentral. Lineage: Bacteria; Pseudomonadati; Pseudomonadota; Gammaproteobacteria; Oceanospirillales; Halomonadaceae.
CCUACGGGUGGCAGCAGUGGGGAAUAUUGGACAAUGGGGGGAACCCUGAUCCAGCCAUGCCGCGUGUGUGAAGAAGGCCCUCGGGUUGUAAAGCACUUUCAGUGAGGAAGAACGCCUGGUGGUUAAUACCCAUCAGGAAAGACAUCACUCACAGAAGAAGCACCGGCUAACUCCGUGCCAGCAGCCGCGGUAAUACGGAGGGUGCGAGCGUUAAUCGGAAUUACUGGGCGUAAAGCGCGCGUAGGUGGCUUGAUAAGCCGGUUGUGAAAGCCCCGGGCUCAACCUGGGAACGGCAUCCGGAACUGUCAAGCUAGAGUGCAGGAGAGGAAGGUAGAAUUCCCGGUGUAGCGGUGAAAUGCGUAGAGAUCGGGAGGAAUACCAGUGGCGAAGGCGGCCUUCUGGACUGACACUGACACUGAGGCGCGAAAGCGUGGGUAGCAAACAGGAUUAGAUACCCGAGUAGUC